GGGAGGCGGCCGACGGCGGGAGUUGGGGGGGGCGGGGCCCCGGCCUGGGGAACGGUCGCGGAGGGCGGGGCGGCCCGGUAGAGGCCACGACCGUGCAGACCGGCCGCCGCCAGAAGAGAGGAAGCGUGAGAAACGACGACACCCUGCCGGUGGCGACAACGUGGACCCAAGGCCCUCGUGUACAAACUGAAAAACACACAGAGACACAACGCUGAUGUAGCAGCGACACCGGCGGGUCACUGUCGUGCACCUGAGACCAGUGGAGCACGUGUGCCAAGUGCACUUCCGCUGAAAGAGGAAGGGAGCAAAUCCGUGCCCACUGCCAGGACAUCAAGGGUGUGAGAACGGCCACGCGCAUGACCAGGAUUCCCUGAAAAGGCCUCGCUGGCAUCCCGUCCCCGGCUUGUAUCUGUGGCAGGAGGACCGGUUAGAACUGCCUGCGCACCUGUGUCGGUCCCCGGCCCCCUGGCUGGAGCGUCGCUAUCAAGGCUGGAAAUUAACUGUUCCUGAAGGUGAUGUGCCCAGUAGCCGACCCUCCGGAAGCACUUGGUGGGGCCGGUGCGCCUGUCCCUGUGCAGAGGACACGCACGCCCUGCGGAUGUCUCUCCGUCCCUGGGGGGGGGGGGGGGCGACUGGACCGCCUGGCACCCUUUCUGUGGACGUGGAAACGGAGACUCCGAGGUGGGGGGGGGGGGGAGUUUCACAACUGUGUGCGUCACACGGUCGCCAGAG
Molecule: long non-coding RNA, 732 nt
Filed under: Lynx canadensis (Canada lynx)
Lineage: Eukaryota; Metazoa; Chordata; Mammalia; Carnivora; Felidae
Description: lncRNA (ENSLCNG00005007861.1)
Source: RNAcentral